This 468-nucleotide ribosomal RNA is filed under the name uncultured bacterium. RNAcentral's name for it is "partial 16S ribosomal RNA". It matches the Rfam family "Bacterial small subunit ribosomal RNA", at positions 28 to 507 of the family's 1533-position model. The record is from RNAcentral.
GACGAACGCUGGCGGCGUGCUUAACACAUGCAAGUCGAACGGAAAGGCCCUGCUUUUGUGGGGUGCUCGAGUGGCGAACGGGUGCGUAACACGUGAGUAACCUGCCCUUCACUUUGGUAUAACUUCAGGAAACUGGGGCUAAUACCGGAUCGGAGCUCCUGCUGCAUGGUGGGGGUUGGAAAGUUUAGGCGGUUGGGGAUGGACUCGCGGCUUAUCAGCUUGUUGGUGGGGUAGUGGCUUACCAAGGCUUUGACGGGUAGCCGGCCUGAGAGCGUGACCGGCCACAUGGGUACUGCGAUACGGACCAGACGGCUACGGGAGGCAGUAGGGGGGAACAUUGCACAACGAGCCGACGCCUGAUGCAGAGACGCUCGGGUCGGGAUGACGGCCUUUGGGGUGUAAACCGCUGUCGCCUGUGACGAAGCGGGAGUGACGGUAAUGGGAGAAGAAGCACCGGCUAACUACGUG